UUUCCGUAGGUGAACCUGCGGAAGGAUCAUUAAUAAAUGGUCUACGUUUUUUAAGUAGACGCUUAAUAAUCCUACCCUUUGUGAAUUUGUUUGUUUGAAAUAAUUUUUUUUAAAAUUAUUGAAUGUCUUUCCCUGUUGAAUUGGUUGUCUUUAAUGGCAAGUGAUUCGCAGGGGAGUGUCAAUAAUUUUUAAAAAGACCUUUUUUAAAAUUAAACUUUUUGUAUUCAUUUGUCUAAAAAUUAUUUUUAUAAUAUAAAAACAACUUUUGACAAUGGAUCUCUUGGUUCUCGCAACGAUGAAGAACGCAGCAAAAUGCGAUAAGUAGUGUGAAUUGCAGAAUACGUGAAUCAUCGAAUCUUCGAACGCAUAUUGCACUUUUUUAGUUUACUAAAAAAGUAUGUCUGUUUGAGUAUCAGUAAAAUAUUCUCAUAAAAAACAUUGUUUUUUAUGGUUAUGAGUGUUUUACAACGAUACAAGUUGUUUCACUUUAAAUUUUUUUAAAAUUUGAAUUUUUCUAAUUUUAAAAUAAAAUUGGAUAAAAUUUUCCCGUAAAAAGGAAUAACCUAAACAAUUUUAAUUUUUGAUUAGAAAAUCCAAACUAAAAGGAAAAUUUAACUAAAUAACUUGAUCUCAAAUCAGAUAAGAGUACCCGCUGAACUUAAGCAUAUCAAUAAGCGGAGGAAAAGAAACUAACAAGGAUUCCUUAGUAACGGCGAGUGAAGCGGGAAGAGCUCAAAUUUGAAAUCUUCAAGGUUUUACCUUGACGAAUUGUAGUUUAAAGAAGUGUUUUCUGUUGAAGUUUUGGUAAAAGUUCUUUGGAAUAGGACAUCAUAGAGGGUGAGAAUCCCGUAUUUGACCAUUAUUUUCAGCUGUGUGAUACACUUUCAAAGAGUCGGAUUGUUUGGGAAUGCAGUCCAGAGUGGGUGGUAAAUUUCAUCUAAAGCUAAAUAUUGGCGAGAGACCGAUAGCGGACAAGUACCGUGAGGGAAAGAUGAAAAGAACUUUGAAAAGAGAGUUAAACAGUACGUGAAAUUGUCAAAAGGGAAGCGUUUGACACCAGUGUUGUUUUCUCGAAAUCAAUUAAAAAAGUUGGAUUUUGUGUUGUAUUGACCUUAACAGCUUGCUUCACUCUUUUCCUGCUUUUUUUAAUGCACUUUUCGUUUAACAAGUCAACAUCAGUUUCUUUUGUUGUAAAAGGGUCAUUGGAAGGUGGCUUUCUCUUCGGAGAAAGUGUUUAUAGCCUUUGAUCUCUGCAAUCGGAGAGACUGAGGUCUGCAGCGUAGAUCCUUCGGGUUAGAUACAUUUGUGCUAAGCUACAGCUUUUCAUAGACAACUUGUUGACUAUGUUUAGUCUUGUGACUUACCCGCUUAUGCUAUUU
This 1379-nucleotide unclassified non-coding RNA is filed under the name uncultured Neocallimastigales. RNAcentral's name for it is "partial contains small subunit ribosomal RNA, internal transcribed spacer 1, 5.8S ribosomal RNA, internal transcribed spacer 2, and large subunit ribosomal RNA". The stretch from base 626 to 1379 matches the Rfam family "Eukaryotic large subunit ribosomal RNA", at positions 1 to 617 of the family's 3401-position model. The record is from RNAcentral. Lineage: Eukaryota; Fungi; Neocallimastigomycota; Neocallimastigomycetes; Neocallimastigales.